RNAcentral lists this small nuclear RNA (107 nucleotides) under Sciurus vulgaris (Eurasian red squirrel). Lineage: Eukaryota; Metazoa; Chordata; Mammalia; Rodentia; Sciuridae. The record is from RNAcentral.
GUGCUCACUUUGACAGUACAUACACUAAAAUUGGAAUGAUACAGAGCAGAUUAGCAUGGUCCCUGAGCAAGGAUGACAUGCAAAUUUGUGAAGCAUUCCAUAUUUUU